This 437-nucleotide ribosomal RNA is filed under the name Limosilactobacillus reuteri. RNAcentral describes it as "bacterial SSU rRNA". It matches the Rfam family "Bacterial small subunit ribosomal RNA", at positions 1 to 401 of the family's 1533-position model. Lineage: Bacteria; Bacillati; Bacillota; Bacilli; Lactobacillales; Lactobacillaceae. The record is from RNAcentral.
UUAUAUGAGAGUUUGAUCCUGGCUCAGGAUGAACGCCGGCGGUGUGCCUAAUACAUGCAAGUCGUACGCACUGGCCCAACUGAUUGAUGGUGCUUGCACCUGAUUGACGAUGGAUCACCAGUGAGUGGCGGACGGGUGAGUAACACGUAGGUAACCUGCCCCGGAGCGGGGGAUAACAUUUGGAAACAGAUGCUAAUACCGCAUAACAACAAAAGCCACAUGGCUUUUGUUUGAAAGAUGGCUUUGGCUAUCACUCUGGGAUGGACCUGCGGUGCAUUAGCUAGUUGGUAAGGUAACGGCUUACCAAGGCGAUGAUGCAUAGCCGAGUUGAGAGACUGAUCGGCCACAAUGGAACUGAGACACGGUCCAUACUCCUACGGGAGGCAGCAGUAGGGAAUCUUCCACAAUGGGCGCAAGCCUGAUGGAGCAACACCGCG